GCUCAAUGAUGAUUUUUCAUUAAAUAGCCGCAGUAUCCUGACUGCGUGAAAGUAGCAUAAUAAUUUGCCUUUUAAUUGGUGGCUGGUAUCAAUGGUAUUAUGAGGGUGAAGCUGUCUCUUGCGUAUUCUUUUGAAGUUACCUAUUAGGUGAAAAGGCCUAAAUGGUUUUAUAAGACAAGAAGACCCUGUCAAGCUUUACAGCAGGCUGGAAGUUUAAAAUCCUAUUUUGUUGUUUGAUUGGGGCAAUCGGGGGGCAAAAAAAAUCCCUCCCUUUUUUAUUCCUUCUAGGAAUGACCCGCAUUAAGCGAUCUAGGGAAAAAGUUACUGCAGGGAUAACAGCGUAAUUUUCUCUGUGAGUUCUUAUUUAAGAGAAAGUUCGCGACCUNGA
RNAcentral lists this ribosomal RNA (388 nucleotides) under Scutellastra argenvillei. Its description in RNAcentral is "partial 16S ribosomal RNA". It matches the Rfam family "Archaeal large subunit ribosomal RNA", at positions 1953 to 2598 of the family's 2987-position model. The record is from RNAcentral. Lineage: Eukaryota; Metazoa; Mollusca; Gastropoda; Patellidae.